RNAcentral lists this non-coding RNA (71 nucleotides) under Sharpea azabuensis. RNAcentral describes it as "Fluoride sequence". It matches the Rfam family "Fluoride riboswitch aptamer (crcB RNA motif)". The record is from Rfam by way of RNAcentral. Lineage: Bacteria; Bacillati; Bacillota; Erysipelotrichia; Erysipelotrichales; Coprobacillaceae.
UAAGCACAAGGGAAUGAAUGUCUCCCGCGAGCAAUCGAAACCGCUAUUAAGCUGAUGACUUCUAUCUUAUU